Molecule: long non-coding RNA, 259 nt
Organism: Oncorhynchus tshawytscha (Chinook salmon)
Lineage: Eukaryota; Metazoa; Chordata; Actinopteri; Salmoniformes; Salmonidae
Source: Ensembl
AGGGGGUACCGCUACAGAGUUCAUGUGGAGACUAUGUACAUGGGGGUACCGCUACAGAGUUCAUGUGGAGACUAUGUACAGGGGGGUACCGCUACAGACUCAAUGUGCGGGGGCACCAGUAAGUUGAGGUAAUAUGUGCAUGUAGGUAAUGUUAUUUUAACACUCUCUAUGUUCAAAAUCGGACGAUGGAGGGAAGAAGGGAAGUGGCCGUGCUGCAGAUCAUCUCUGAAAGCUGUGUGUGUGUGUGUGUGUGUGUGUG